CUAUCCUGGCUGAGUUUGAUCCUGGCUCAGAUUGAACGCUGGCGGCAGGCCUAACACAUGCAAGUCGAGCGGAUGAGUGGAGCUUGCUCCAUGAUUCAGCGGCGGACGGGUGAGUAAUGCCUAGGAAUCUGCCUGGUAGUGGGGGACAACGUUUCGAAAGGAACGCUAAUACCGCAUACGUCCUACGGGAGAAAGCAGGGGACCUUCGGGCCUUGUGCUAUCAGAUGAGCCUAGGUCGGAUUAGCUAGUUGGUGAGGUAAUGGCUCACCAAGGCGACGAUCCGUAACUGGUCUGAGAGGAUGAUCAGUCACACUGGAACUGAGACACGGUCCAGACUCCUACGGGAGGCAGCAGUGGGGAAUAUUGGACAAUUGGCGAAAGCCUGAUCCAGCCAUGCCGCGUGUGUGAAGAAGGUCUUCGGAUUGUAAAGCACUUUAAGUUGGGAGGAAGGGCAUUAACCUAAUACGUUAGUGUUUUGACGUUACCGACAGAAUAAGCACCGGCUAACUUCGUGCCAGCAGCCGCGGUAAUACGAAGGGUGCAAGCGUUAAUCGGAAUUACUGGGCGUAAAGCGCGCGUAGGUG
RNAcentral lists this ribosomal RNA (584 nucleotides) under Pseudomonas sp. ARK-63d. RNAcentral describes it as "bacterial SSU rRNA". It matches the Rfam family "Bacterial small subunit ribosomal RNA", at positions 1 to 577 of the family's 1533-position model. The record is from RNAcentral. Lineage: Bacteria; Pseudomonadati; Pseudomonadota; Gammaproteobacteria; Pseudomonadales; Pseudomonadaceae.